RNAcentral lists this ribosomal RNA (204 nucleotides) under Staphylococcus gallinarum. RNAcentral describes it as "partial 16S ribosomal RNA". It matches the Rfam family "Bacterial small subunit ribosomal RNA", at positions 1339 to 1533 of the family's 1533-position model. The record is from RNAcentral. Lineage: Bacteria; Bacillati; Bacillota; Bacilli; Caryophanales; Staphylococcaceae.
UAAUCGUAGAUCAGCAUGCUACGGUGAAUACGUUCCCGGGUCUUGUACACACCGCCCGUCACACCACGAGAGUUUGUAACACCCGAAGCCGGUGGAGUAACCAUUUAUGGAGCUAGCCGUCGAAGGUGGGACAAAUGAUUGGGGUGAAGUCGUAACAAGGUAGCCGUAUCGGAAGGUGCGGCUGGAUCACCUCCUUUCUAAGGA